CCAGGAGUAGGAGCCCUCUAUAUCCCUGCUCCUGAAAAACAAGCUAACUGGAGUCUCCAUCACCUGCACCCAGCAUAGACACACUACCAACUACCCAACUGAACUCCAUGACUGAUUUGCCAGCCAAUCAUGCCCCUGACCCAGCCUACAUGGACAUGGGAAGGACAUCAGUGAAUCGGGAACAGAGGCAGAGACUCACUCCCAUUUGUAUUAUUAAAGCACAUGCAAAUAGGAUAUAAAAAGAAGGAAGAGUACUGGGCCUCAAAAUGAGUUCAAAUCUCAUUUCUGCCAAUUCCUAUGUCUAAAAAAAAAGCAUCCUAAUCUCUUUGAGCCUCACAUUCUCUGAGAAUCACUUGACCAGAAUGUUCAAUACAGGUAAAAAUACUAGAAAGUAUUUUAAUUAAUUCUAAGAUUCCUUAAAAUUCUGUAAUUCUAUGUCCUCUUGAUUCUGUCUAUAGGAAAACUGGGAAUACAUACCCAGCAGAAUUU
RNAcentral lists this long non-coding RNA (489 nucleotides) under Homo sapiens (human). Its description in RNAcentral is "non-protein coding lnc-MPHOSPH8-16:1". The record is from RNAcentral. Lineage: Eukaryota; Metazoa; Chordata; Mammalia; Primates; Hominidae.